GAAGGUGGCAAGCGUUGUUCGGAUUUACUGGGCGUACAGGGAGCGUAGGCGGUUCGGUAAGCCCUCUGUGAAAUCUCCAGGCUUAACCUGGAACAGUCGGAGGGGACUGCUGGGCUAGAGGACGGGAGAGGAGCGCGGAAUUCCCGGUGCAGCGGUGAAAUGCGUAGAGAUCGGGAGGAAGGCCGGUGGCGAAGGCGGCGCUCUGGAACGUUUCUGACGCUGAGGCUCGAAAGCGUGGGGAGCAAACAGGAUUAGAUACCCUGGUAGUCCACGCCUUAGACUAUGAAUACUAAGUGUCGGCGGGUUACCGCCGGUGCCGCAGCUAACGCAUUAAGUAUUCCGCCUGGGAAGUACGGCCGCAAGGUUG
RNAcentral lists this ribosomal RNA (367 nucleotides) under uncultured bacterium. RNAcentral describes it as "bacterial SSU rRNA". It matches the Rfam family "Bacterial small subunit ribosomal RNA", at positions 527 to 896 of the family's 1533-position model. The record is from RNAcentral.